GCAUCAAUAGAAAGCUAACAAAAAACUACAUAUGAAACAUUUAAAUGGUUAGUUGGGAUUUUCAAGCAGUUUUCGAGUUAUUGCCGUUUCAAAUGUGAAAAAUAAGCCAAAAUCUCGCAAAAUUCCUGGGUACUAGUCUGAAAACACGCAUUCAACAGCUCAUAACAGGCCUUAAAAUAUCGGUCGGUCACGGACAUUGUCCGACCCAUUCGUGAAAUUGUCCGACGUAGAAAAGAAACCACCGGACAUUCUGUCCGACCUAAGUGAAACUGAGGUUUAUUGUUUGUCCGACCCGAGUGUGUUGGUGUCCGACCGAACUGUAGCUUUGUCCGACGUAAAUCAAAAUGUACCCUAGCCCAGGAGGCC
This is a non-coding RNA of Paramuricea clavata, 366 nucleotides long. The record is from the annotation of a GenBank genome assembly. Lineage: Eukaryota; Metazoa; Cnidaria; Anthozoa; Malacalcyonacea; Plexauridae.